ACACGGACCAAGGAGUGCAACAUGUGCGCGAGCCGCUUGGCAAGCAAACCAGAAGGCGCAAUGAAAGUGAAGGCACGGCCGCCGUGCUGAGGUGAGAGCCGUCCCCGGGCGGCGCAUCAUCGACCGAUCCUAUCCGCUCCCCCGUGGUGCGGCGGGAUUCGAGUAAGAGUGCAUCUGUUGCGACCCGAAAGAUGGUGAACUAUGCCUGAAUAGGGUGAAGCCAGAGGAAACUCUGGUGGAGGCCCGUAGCGAUUCUGACGUGCAAAUCGAUCGUCAAAUUUGGGUAUAGGGGCGAAAGACUAAUCGAACCAUCUAGUAGCUGGUUCCCUCCGAAGUUUCCCUCAGGAUAGCUGUAGCCCGAAGCAGUUUUAUCAGGUAAAGCGAAUGAUUAGAGGUAUCGGGGAAGAAACUUCCUCGACCUAUUCUCAAACUUUAAAUAGGUAAGAAGUCCGACUUGCUCAAUUUGAAGCCGGACACAGAAUGCUGGGUUACUAGUGGGCCAUUUUUGGUAAGCAGAACUGGCGAUGCGGGAUGAACCGAACGCCGAGUUAAGGUGCCAAAGUCGACGCUCAUCAGAUCCCACAAAAGGUGUUGGUUGAUAUAGACAGCAGGACGGUGGCCAUGGAAGUCGGAAUCCGCUAAGGAGUGUGUAACAACU
This 658-nucleotide ribosomal RNA is filed under the name Phyllospongia papyracea. RNAcentral describes it as "partial large subunit ribosomal RNA". It matches the Rfam family "Eukaryotic large subunit ribosomal RNA", at positions 659 to 1290 of the family's 3401-position model. Lineage: Eukaryota; Metazoa; Porifera; Demospongiae; Dictyoceratida; Thorectidae. The record is from RNAcentral.